CUAGAGUAUUAAUAGAUAUAUUCUUUAAACUUAAAAAAUUUGGCGGUAUUUUAGUCUGUUCAGAGGAACUUGUUUUUUAAUCGAUAAUCCACGUUGGACCUUACUUAAUUUUAUAAAUUAGUUUGUAUACCGUCGUUAUAGAAGAUUUUAUAAGAAAAAUAAUUUUCAAUUAAUUUAAUUAAAUUUAAUAUCAGAUCAAGGUGCAGCAUAUAAUUAAGNNNNNNAUGAGUUACAAUAAAAUUAUUUAUAUGAAUAUAAAUAUGAAAAAUUUAUUGAAAUUGGAUUUGAAUGUAAAAUUAUAAAGAUAUAUAAUUUGAUUUUAGCUCUAAAAUGUGUACAUAUCGCCCGUCACUCUUAUUAAUAAGAUAAGAUAAGUCGUAA
RNAcentral lists this ribosomal RNA (381 nucleotides) under Stichillus sp. PTS-2010. Its description in RNAcentral is "partial 12S ribosomal RNA". The record is from RNAcentral. Lineage: Eukaryota; Metazoa; Arthropoda; Insecta; Diptera; Phoridae.